GAUUCCCUUAGUAACGGCGAGUGAAACGGGAAAAGCCCAUCCCUGAAUCCCCUGGUCGUAUGACCAGUGUGGAGUUGUGGGGUAUGGGAGUGCCCAUGCGGCGGUGGUGACCUGUCCAGGUUCUCCUGAUUGAGGCUUUUACCCAUAGCGGGUGUAAGGCCCAUAUGACGGGUUGCCCUGCUGCUCGGGCGCUCCUAGGAGUCGGGUUGCUUGAGAAUGCAGCCCAAAGUGGGUGGUAAAUUCCAUCUAAGGCUAAAUACGAGCACGAGACCGAUAGUAAACAAGUACCGUGAGGGAAAGUUGAAAAGCACUUUGAAGAGAGAGUUGGACAGUACGUGAAACCGCUUACAGGUAAACGGAUGGGACCGCAAUGUCACCCCCGGGUAUUCAGGCCGUUCCGGUUUUGUCUGUGCGUAGCCUCUGGAGUCCGUUUGGGCCCAUGCUGUGUACUGGUGCAAUUCAGGACGACUGCAUUUACCCGGCUCGGUGAACACUUCCACCGCGUGUUGGACAGAAAGAAUCCUCUCAGCAAGGUAGCUCGUCGUCCUCGGGCGCGAGAACUUAUAGGUUGAGAGUGUGACUGCCUGUCUGGCGCGCGAGGAGCCUGGGCCGCCCACAACGGCCCUGCUCGCUCUGCUGGCGGUGACUGGCGAGGACUGCUUGCAGUGCUCUGCCGACUAUCGUUGCGGAGGUCGGGGCAGGUGCUGGCGUGGGUGUGGAUAGGGUUCGAAGUGCUGUCGGCACCCCAUCCGACCCGUCUUGAAACACGGACCAAGGAGUGCAGCGUGUGCGCGAGUCAAAGGGACCACCGAAUCCCCACGGCGUAAUAAAAGUGAUUGAGCAUUCAGUUGUUCUCACGGUGUGAUCCGAUGCCUUUGACGCAUCGGCGCAACACCAGCCCGCCUCGUAAACUUUGUUUUUGAGGCGGUGCUUGAGCGUACACGCUGCGACCCGAAAGAUGGCGAACUAUGCUCGAGUAGGUUGAAGUCAGAG
Molecule: ribosomal RNA, 993 nt
Filed under: Ficopomatus miamiensis
Lineage: Eukaryota; Metazoa; Annelida; Polychaeta; Sabellida; Serpulidae
Description: eukaryotic LSU rRNA
Rfam family: Eukaryotic large subunit ribosomal RNA
Source: RNAcentral